This 289-nucleotide ribosomal RNA is filed under the name uncultured prokaryote. Its description in RNAcentral is "partial 16S ribosomal RNA". It matches the Rfam family "Bacterial small subunit ribosomal RNA", at positions 524 to 815 of the family's 1533-position model. The record is from RNAcentral.
AACGUAGGGGGCGAGCGUUGUCCGGAAUUACUGGGCGUAAAGGGCGUGUAGGCGGUUCGUGAAGUCAGGAGUGAAAACCCGGAGCUUAACUCCGGGACUGCUUUUGAAACCAACGGGCUUGAGUACAGGAGAGGGAAGUGGAAUUCCCAGUGUAGCGGUGAAAUGCGUAGAUAUUGGGAGGAACACCAGUGGCGAAAGCGGCUUCCUGGCCUGAAACUGACGCUGAGGCGCGAAAGCGUGGGGAGCAAACAGGAUUAGAUACCCUGGUAGUCCCUGAGCGGGCUGGCAA